RNAcentral lists this ribosomal RNA (253 nucleotides) under uncultured bacterium. RNAcentral's name for it is "partial 16S ribosomal RNA". It matches the Rfam family "Bacterial small subunit ribosomal RNA", at positions 524 to 776 of the family's 1533-position model. The record is from RNAcentral.
UACGUAGGGGGCAAGCGUUAUCCGGAUUUACUGGGUGUAAAGGGAGCGUAGACGGCAGUGCAAGUCUGGAGUGAAAGGCGGGGGCUCAACCCCCGGACUGCUCUGGAAACUGUACGGCUGGAGUGCAGGAGAGGUAAGUGGGAUUCCUAGUGUAGCGGUGAAAUGCGUAGAUAUUAGGAGGAACACCAGUGGCGAAGGCGGCUUACUGGACUGUAACUGACGUUGAGGCUCGAAAGCGUGGGGAGCAAACAGG